Eriocheir sinensis (Chinese mitten crab) is the source of this 1972-nucleotide RNA transcript. It is a transcript of the gene named nuclear pore complex-interacting protein family member B3-like, with no coding region annotated. NCBI's taxonomy places the organism in Eukaryota, Metazoa, Arthropoda, Malacostraca, Decapoda, Varunidae. The record is from RefSeq and is a predicted model, not a curated record. The transcript is spliced from 3 exons.
ACAUCAAUGCUGAUCAGUACCUAAUGCUACCACUGUUAGGGGGCCCAUGAGCUUCUCCGACACUAAUUUCCAAAACUGACUAGAGAAAUAUCAAAUACUAAAGUAUCAAUAAUGUACAAGUAAUGCUGUGCUUUUACAUGGUGGAAUAUGGCAAGUAAGCAACAAGACAAAUACAGAAUGUACAAGACAAAGUAGUUUUCAGCAGUUGCUGCAGCCUGUCUGAAGGACCACUUCACUGAGUCCCUCAAGGUGAUCAAUGCAUUCACUCAGCUCCUCACGGUAAGGAAGUCCCUUAAAGAAGUCCAUCCUGCCCUUCAUAUCAGCUACAAGCAGAUACAUUUACUCUUGAAAAAAUAUGACUGUUUCCAACAAAACUGAUCAAAUAUUCUUAACAUCUGCUUUGGCUAUUUAACCUACUGUGCUGUCUACCAUCAUGACUUCAUAAAUCAAGACAAACUCCACUACUUGUGAACAAACUCUAGCACUUCAAGAUCUCCUACAAAAAGGGAAGCAUGAACUCGCUGCCUGAGAAGCAAUGAAAACAACAAAAGCUUCUUAAAACAUUCCAGUCACUUCUUAUAUCACAGAACACUUUGAAGUUUAGAAUCAUGACAGCAGAGUGUGAUGCUUCAAUACAACUGCCUACCUCUGUGUGGUCUAUUACAAUGUAUUAAUGAAUCUAUUUUCAAGUCACUAAAUAAGACUGGUGAGAAAACACAAUUUAUGACAUGCAGUGAAAUAAAACAUUUCUUGCACCUCAUACAUUAGCUGCUGAUUCCUUCUGAGGGACAGGCAGGGACCAUGCUGGUUAGUCCACACCACACUCAGGUUAGGACCCCAAAACAAUGCUACACCCCUGCCUGCCUCCUCCACACCCCACUCAAGUUAGGACCCCAAAACAAUGCUACACCCCUGCCUGCCUGCCUCCACACCACACUCAAGUUAGGACCCCAAAACAAUGCUACACCCCUGCCUGCCUCCACACCACACUCAGGUUAGGACCCCAAAACAAUGCUACACCCCUGCCUGCCUGCCUCCACACCACACUCAGGUUAGGACCCCAAAACAAUGCUACACCCCUGCCUGCCUGCCUCCACACCACACUCAAGUUAGGACCCCAAAACAAUGCUACACCCCUGCCUGCCUGCCUCCACACCACACUCAGGUUAGGACCCCAAAACAAUGCUACACCCCUGCCUGCCUCCACACCACACUCAGGUUAGGACCCCAAAACAAUGCUACACCCCUGCCUGCCUCCACACCACACUCAAGUUAGGACCCCAAAACAAUGCUACACCCCUGCCUGCCUGCCUCCACACCACACUCAGGUUAGGACCCCAAAACAAUGCUACACCCCUGCCUGCCUCCACACCACACUCAGGUUAGGACCCCAAAACAAUGCUACACCCCUGCCUGCCUCCACACCACACUCAAGUUAGGACCCCAAAACAAUGCUACACCCCUGCCUGCCUCCACACCACACUCAGGUUAGGACCCCAAAACAAUGCUACACCCCUGCUUGCCUCCUCUACGCGCUGGCCGGCCAAAAGCACUACACCUCACCAAUUCUUUCUACCACCUUCCCUAAGUUUAUAUAUUUCACAACCUGUAAAUUAAUGAAAAUGCUGGAACUCAAAUCAUAUGAAUGUAUCUGCCACCUGAUAACUUUAUAGGAGACAAUGAUCUCUUUCAGGAGGCAUCAUCAUUACCAUUAUCAUCUUCAUCCUAUUCUCUGUGGGAAAUCAGGUAGGGUGCAGUGGGUGCAGUAAAAGCUAUGAACUUAAGAAAAGAAAGUUAAUUGAAGGCAAAAUGAUUGCCCAAUGAAAUGGUAUUUGUAUUUUUUUCUUACUUUAUGCCUGCCUGCCUACCUACCUGCACACACACACACCAGCAAUUGAGAGUUCAGCUUGUGAUCCAACCAUAGUGAAUGACACACACACACACACACACACACAUACACACACACACACAC